AAAGCACCGCCUCACCGCCUCCAGCUGGAGCCAUGCUGUGAAAUCUCUCUCCCUGGCAAAUGUGCGUGGAACACACACACACACAAACAUGCACGCAUGCGCUCACGCACCCAGCAUUAGAGUCAAACUUGAAUGUCAAACUCUUCUUUCCCCUUCUAGUUCAUGGCAGGAAGGGAAAGCUUACCUGAGAUCUCAGUGACUCUCCAGCUAUUUUGGGUAAUUUCUGAUUUGAGUUGGGAUUGGUUUUUAAACACAGGCCCUAAUCUGGGGUGAAGCCAGUGAAGCAGCGCUGGCCAGGAGAGACGUCAGUCUUGCUAAAUCCUGAAGGUGGGUUCCUGUGAAAACCAUGCUUUCAGGAUUCACUGUGACUGUCAGGCCAGCCCAGUGAGUGCCCCCCAUCCAACCCAUGGUUGCGGUCACAGUGAAGGGAUUGCCCACGCAGGGGCGCACGUGUUCUCUAGGGCAGGGCCCUCUGACAGGAGAAAAUGAGACCCUUCCUCUUCCCACCUCCCAACUUCCCAGAGAAACGCCAGUCCUCCAAGGUACAAUGGCAGCUCAGGAUCCAGUGGCACAUGUGUAUUUUUGCCUAUGUUCCCCUGUCCCCAUCCCCCAAUCCAGUCUCAGUCACACUGCCAUGAUACAUCACACCAUCAUCCUUCAUCUCAGGCCAAAGGGCUCAGCGCCCCAGACGACAGGGACUGCUUCCCUGAAGCAGGGAUGUGGUUCUCCCAUCAUUUCAGGAACAGUGACAUUCCCUCAGAUGCUGUGGCCUCUCUCACUGUCUUGGGGGUCUCCAGUUUGCACACCACUGGUAGCUCACUGUAGCCUACAAUUUCCUCAUAAGGGACAGGAGGAAGAAGAAAAAAGACUAAGGAAAGAGGGUCAGAGAUAUGGGAGAAAACCAAGAGCACAGGAUGCCACAAAGCCAAGGGAAACAAGGGUUUCAAGAAGGAAUAAGUGCCAAGUGCCACUGAGUGAUUAAGACAAGGACUGAAGAAAACACCCACAAGAUUUAGCAAAGGGAAAUAUCAGUGACCUUGGCAGAAGCAGCCGCAGGGGAGUGUGAGCUUCUUUGGAACUGGUGCUGCCUGGCUAAUUUUCAUGGGUCACACAUUAGGGAUACAAGUUAGGAUACAGAUUCAAGCCACUCUAACAGAGGUUCAAAAUAAUACUGGCUUCCGUUGGUAAAAGUUCAUGUCUCUCUCUUAAGAGUGAGUGCAAGCAUAAUCUAUGUAGUAUCAGACACUUCUAUCUGUACCUAUCACUUGUGUUCCCUUGCCACUGGCCAGAACUUUGUCACAUGACCUAAUAUAGCUGCAAGAUAAUCAGGAAAAGUGGCCAUGAACCAAGCAAGGCUGGUACUCCCAAGAAGAGUGUUGUUCAUCUCAUGUUCAGGCCACUGAGGGGACAUUAUGCAGCUGCAGUGGGACCUCUGAGGGGUGACAAUGAGGGUAGUAUGAUAGCUA
RNAcentral lists this long non-coding RNA (1466 nucleotides) under Homo sapiens (human). RNAcentral's name for it is "non-protein coding lnc-KCNK12-2:1". The record is from RNAcentral. Lineage: Eukaryota; Metazoa; Chordata; Mammalia; Primates; Hominidae.